Molecule: ribosomal RNA, 450 nt
Filed under: uncultured bacterium
Lineage: Bacteria
Description: partial 16S ribosomal RNA
Rfam family: Bacterial small subunit ribosomal RNA
Source: RNAcentral
CCUACGGGUGGCUGCAGUGGGGAAUUUUGGACAAUGGGGGCAACCCUGAUCCAGCCAUGCCGCGUGCGGGAAGAAGGCCUUCGGGUUGUAAACCGCUUUCGGCCGGAACGAAAUCGCCGGGGAGAACAUCCCCGGUGGAUGACGGUACCGGAAGAAGAAGCACCGGCUAACUACGUGCCAGCAGCCGCGGUAAUACGUAGGGUGCGAGCGUUGCUCGGAAUGUGCGGGGGCGAAGCGCUAAGACACGGUUGAAAUCCCCGGGCUUAACCUGGGAACUGCGUUUGUGACUGGCGGGCUGGAGUGCGGAAGAGGGAGGUGGAAUUCCACGUGUAGCAGUGAAAUGCGUAGAGAUGUGGAGGAACACCGAUGGCGAAGGCAGCCUCCUGGUCUAGCACUGACGCUCAUGCACGAAAGCGUGGGGAGCAAACAGGAUUAGAUACCCGGGUAGUC